UGGCGUCCAGUAAACUUUGUGCACUACUUAUUUUAUUCGUGGUGCUUGGAUUUGUUUGUGGUGCUGCAGUUGAACCAGCUCCAUUAGAAUGUCCUCCCGGAGAAAAGUAUUAUAAAUGUGCUCUACAAGUUUGCUAUAAGACAUGUAAGCAUCUAAAACAACCACCGCCUUGUCCCUCUUUGCAUCCAAGCUGCUUCGAGCCAGAGUGUGUCUGUGAAGGAGAUACAUUAAGAAAUGACGAGGGUGUCUGCGUCACUAUUGAUCAAUGUUAGCAGUCCAGAAUACCUUCCAAUUCAAAGAAAUGUAAGGAAAUAAGUGUAUACAAUUUUCCAUGGAAAGCACUCUUUCUCAUUGUAUGAUAGUCAUAAAUAUGUAGGAAAAGCAUUUAGUAUUUGUUUUCUUU
Long non-coding RNA from Hyposmocoma kahamanoa, 403 nucleotides. RefSeq lists it as uncharacterized. The record is from RefSeq and is a predicted model, not a curated record. The transcript has 3 exons. Lineage: Eukaryota; Metazoa; Arthropoda; Insecta; Lepidoptera; Cosmopterigidae.